This 840-nucleotide ribosomal RNA is filed under the name Neofusicoccum sp. 2 JZG-2016. Its description in RNAcentral is "eukaryotic LSU rRNA". It matches the Rfam family "Eukaryotic large subunit ribosomal RNA", at positions 87 to 944 of the family's 3401-position model. The record is from RNAcentral. Lineage: Eukaryota; Fungi; Ascomycota; Dothideomycetes; Botryosphaeriales; Botryosphaeriaceae.
CGGCGAGUGAAGCGGCAAUAGCUCAAAUUUGAAAGCUGGCCCCUUUCGGGGUCCGCGUUGUAAUUUGUAGAGGAUGAUUCGGCGAGGGCUCCCGUCUAAGUCCCUUGGAACAGGGCGUCAUAGAGGGUGAGAAUCCCGUAUGUGAUGGGCUGCCUUAGCCAUGUGAAUCUCCUUCGACGAGUCGAGUUGUUUGGGAAUGCAGCUCUAAAUGGGAGGUAAAUUUCUUCUAAAGCUAAAUACCGGCCAGAGACCGAUAGCGCACAAGUAGAGUGAUCGAAAGAUGAAAAGCACUUUGGAAAGAGAGUUAAAAAGUACGUGAAAUUGUUGAAAGGGAAGCGCUUGCAGCCAGACUUGUCCGCAGUUGCUCAGCCUGCCUCCUGACAGGCGUACUCUUCUGCGGCCAGGCCAGCAUCAGUUCGGGCGGUCGGAUAAAGACCCGGGGAAUGUAGCUCCUCUCGGGGAGUGUUAUAGCCCUGGGUGCAAUGCGGCCAGCCUGGACUGAGGAUCUCGCUUCGGCUAGGAUGCUGGCGUAAUGGCUGUAAGCGGCCCGUCUUGAAACACGGACCAAGGAGUCUAACAUCUAUGCGAGUGUUUGGGUGUCAAACCCAUGCGCGUAAUGAAAGUGAACGGAGGUGGGAACCCUCACGGGUGCACCAUCGACCGAUCCUGAUGUCUUCGGAUGGAUUUGAGUAAGAGCAUAGCUGUUGGGACCCGAAAGAUGGUGAACUAUGCCUGAAUAGGGUGAAGCCAGAGGAAACUCUGGUGGAGGCUCGCAGCGGUUCUGACGUGCAAAUCGAUCGUCAAAUUUGGGUAUAGGGGCGAAAGACUAAUCGAACCAUC